GUGGGGAAUUGUUCGCAAUGGGCGCAAGCCUGACGACGCAACGCCGCGUGGAGGAUGAAGAUCUUCGGGUCGUAAACUCCUGUCGAGCGGGACGAAUGUUCCGCGGGUGAAUAUCCCGCAGACGUGACGGUACCGCUAAAGGAAGCCCCGGCUAACUCCGUGCCAGCAGCCGCGGUAAUACGGGGGGGGCAAGCGUUGUUCGGAAUUACUGGGCGUAAAGGGCUCGUAGGUGGCCAACUAAGUCAGACGUGAAAUCCCCAGGCUCAACCUGGGAACUGCGUCUGAUACUGGAUGGCUUGAAUUCGGGAGAGGGAUGCAGAAUUCCAGGUGUAGCGGUGAAAUGCGUAGAUAUCUGGAGGAAUACCGGUGGCGAAGGCGGCAUCCUGGACCGAGAUUGACACUGAUGAGCGAAAGCCAGGGGAGCAAACGGGAUUAGAAACCCUUGUAGUCC
RNAcentral lists this ribosomal RNA (451 nucleotides) under uncultured bacterium. RNAcentral's name for it is "bacterial SSU rRNA". It matches the Rfam family "Bacterial small subunit ribosomal RNA", at positions 354 to 796 of the family's 1533-position model. The record is from RNAcentral.